This 615-nucleotide ribosomal RNA is filed under the name uncultured bacterium. Its description in RNAcentral is "bacterial SSU rRNA". It matches the Rfam family "Bacterial small subunit ribosomal RNA", at positions 1 to 581 of the family's 1533-position model. The record is from RNAcentral.
AUUGCGGAUCCGCGGCCGCAGAGUUUGAUCAUGGCUCAGAACGAACGCUGGCGGCGUGCUUAACACAUGCAAGUCGAACGAGAAAGGGACUUCGGUCCUGAGUACAGUGGCGCACGGGUGAGUAACACGUGGAUAAUCUACCUGAUGGACAGGGAUAACAUCUCGAAAGAGGUGCUAAUACCAGAUAAGCCCACAGCAUCUACGGAUGCAGCGGGAAAAGGGGGCCUCUUCAUGAAAGCUUCCACCAACAGAUGAGUCCGCGGUCCAUUAGCUAGUUGGUAGGGUAAUGGCCUACCAAGGCCACGAUGGAUAGCUGGUUUGAGAGAAUGAUCAGCCACACUGGAACUGAGACACGGUCCAGACUCCUACGGGAGGCAGCAGUGGGGAAUAUUGCGCAAUGGGGGAAACCCUGACGCAGCAACGCCGCGUGAGUGAUGAAGGUUUUCGGAUCGUAAAGCUCAGUCAAGAGGGAAGAAACCCCGAUAGGCUAAUACCUUGUCGGAUUGACGGUACCUCUAAAGGAAGCACCGGCUAACUCCGUGCCAGCAGCCGCGGUAAUACGGAGGGUGCGAGCGUUGUUCGGAAUUAUGGGCGUAAAGCGCGUGCAAGCGGGUG